GCGCGGCAGCCGACGGGAGGGCAGGGGCUGCGACACUGUCGUAAAAGCGCGAUGCCACACUGCCGUCAAGCGAGGUGCGCUGUCGUGAACCGUGCUAGGGAGCGCGUGUGCGUGGAGUCGUGCAAGUUCUGUGCCUUAGGGCUCAGUGUGAGAGAGAAGCUCGGUGCUUCGUUUCCAUGAGUGCAUAAAGCGGUGUAAUGCAAUCGUUACACUGAAGGCUGCUGAUGGGGCUGUGGCGUUGCUUGAGGAAAUCUGAUGGGGUAUCCUGAGCCCACAGAGCUCUGACUUGGCCGUGCAAAUUCUGGCAUGUUGCUUCAUAGCCUGUAUUUCUUCUGUCCUGCAAAUCCACGAUGCAAGCGAAACGCCUGCAGAUCCAUCCUGUUCUUCCGUUUCACCUUCAGAUAUCCCCUGUGAGAAGCAGUGGAUUUGGCUGCAGAUGCAGAGCCAUGUUGUGCCAUGUUGCUGCUUUCUUCAUCGAGUCUUUUCUGGACCUGCAGUUCUAUCCAGCAGCGUGAUCAGGGCUCGGCAGCAACACAGGCUUAUCUGACCUUCCUUUGUGAGCUACCUGUUUGCAAUGCUGACUUUUUGAAAGGCAUAAGACAAUGAAAGCUGCGGUAUUUGAAGCCUGAUUGAAGGACCUUCCCUCUGUCUCAGGGAGACUUCAUUUGGAUUUCUUGGAGGAGCAGCUUCUUGCUUUGAACUUUGACUAUUUACAAAAUGAUGCAUUUCAAGUUUACAUAGAAAUGGAUAGCUUAGAUGGAAGCUGAUAAGAGUUGCUUUCAUGUUUAGCAUCCUGUGGACUUCUAGGUCAGAGAAGCAAUAAGUAUGAAUCAGUAAUCUUGUACAAGUUUCAAAAUAGCAUACAUUAAGUGUGCUAAGAAAACUGGGAGUGGGGAGGGAGCCGGUUUUGGGUAUGUGGUGGUGCUGUGAGUCAACUCCAGCUUUUCUCUGCAUUGCCACAAACACAGGAGUUGUAGGUGGGUGUGAUGGGACAAGCCUGAGCCUGGGACUUAAAUGGCUUAUGGGAACCUUGUCUUGAAAAAACAUCAAUAAAGUGACCAAAAAAUGAUUUUUAAAUUUGAGU
Molecule: long non-coding RNA, 1084 nt
Filed under: Phasianus colchicus (ring-necked pheasant)
Lineage: Eukaryota; Metazoa; Chordata; Aves; Galliformes; Phasianidae
Description: lncRNA (ENSPCLG00000014724.1)
Source: RNAcentral